GACGAACGCUGGCGGCGUGCUUAACACAUGCAAGUCGAACGGACAGGCCCUGCUCUUGUGGGGUGCUCGAGUGGCGAACGGGUGAGUAACACGUGAGUAACCUGCCCUUGACUUUGGGAUAACUUCAGGAAACUGGGGCUAAUACCGGAUAGGAGCUCCUGCUGCAUGGUGGGGGUUGGAAAGUUUCGGCGGUUGGGGAUGGACUCGCGGCUUAUCAGCUUGUUGGUGGGGUAGUGGCUUACCAAGGCUUUGACGGGUAGCCGGCCUGAGAGGGUGACCGGCGACAUUGGGACUGAGAGACGGCCCAGACGCGUACGGGAGGCAGCAGUGGGGAAUAUUGCACAAUGGGCGGAAGCCUGAGGCAGAAACGCCGCGUGCGGGAUGACGGCCUUCGGGUUGUAAACCGCUUUCGCCGGUGACGAAGCGUGAGUGACGGUAAUGGGUAAAGAAGCACCGGCUAACUACGUG
This 468-nucleotide ribosomal RNA is filed under the name uncultured bacterium. RNAcentral describes it as "partial 16S ribosomal RNA". It matches the Rfam family "Bacterial small subunit ribosomal RNA", at positions 28 to 507 of the family's 1533-position model. The record is from RNAcentral.